This 412-nucleotide ribosomal RNA is filed under the name uncultured bacterium. RNAcentral's name for it is "bacterial SSU rRNA". It matches the Rfam family "Bacterial small subunit ribosomal RNA", at positions 355 to 765 of the family's 1533-position model. The record is from RNAcentral.
UAAGGAAUAUUGGUCAAUGGACGCAAGUCUGAACCAGCCAUGCCGCGUGAAGGAUGAAGGUCCUCUGGAUUGUAAACUUCUUUUAUCUGGGACGAAAACGGGAUUUUUAUCUCAAUUGACGGUACCAGAGGAAUAAGCACCGGCUAACUCCGUGCCAGCAGCCGCGGUAAUACGGAGGGUGCGAGCGUUAUCCGGAUUUACUGGGUUUAAAGGGUGCGUACGUGGGCUUAUAAGUCAGUGGUGAAAUCUCCGAGCUUAACUUGGAAACUGCCGUUGAUACUAUAGGUCUUGAAUUCUCUGGAGGUAAGCGGAAUAUGUCAUGUAGCGGUGAAAUGCUUAGAUAUGACAUAGAACACCAAUUGCGAAGGCAGCUUACUACAUAUAAAUUGACGCUGAGGCACGAAAGCGUGGG